RNAcentral lists this ribosomal RNA (468 nucleotides) under uncultured bacterium. RNAcentral describes it as "partial 16S ribosomal RNA". It matches the Rfam family "Bacterial small subunit ribosomal RNA", at positions 28 to 507 of the family's 1533-position model. The record is from RNAcentral.
GACGAACGCUGGCGGCGUGCUUAACACAUGCAAGUCGAACGGAAAGGCCCUGCUUUUGUGGCGUGCUCGAGUGGCGAACGGGUGAGUAACACGUGAGUAACCUGCCCUUGACUUUGGGAUAACUUCAGGAAACUGGGGCUAAUACCGGAUAGGAGCUCCUGCUGCAUGGGGGGGGAUGGAAAGUUUCGGCGGUUGGGGAUGGACUCGCGGCUUAUCAGCUUGUUGGUGGGGUGGUGGCUUACCAAGGCUUUGACGGGUAGCCGGCCUGAGAGGGUGACCGGCCACAUUGGGACUGAGAUACGGCCCAGACUCCUACGGGAGGCAGCAGUGGGGAAUAUUGCACAAUGGGCGGAAGCCUGAUGCAGCAACGCCGCGUGCGGGAUGACGGCCUUCGGGUUGUAAACCGCUUUCGCCUGUGACGAAGCGUGAGUGACGGUAAUGGGUAAAGAAGCACCGGCUAACUACGUG